Molecule: ribosomal RNA, 535 nt
Filed under: uncultured bacterium
Lineage: Bacteria
Description: bacterial SSU rRNA
Rfam family: Bacterial small subunit ribosomal RNA
Source: RNAcentral
GUGCCUUGGCGUCUCAGAGAGUUUGAUUCUGGCUCAGGAUGAACGCUAGCUACAGGCUUAACACAUGCAAGUCGAGGGGCAGCAUUGGAGUAGCAAUACUUCAGAUGGCGACCGGCGCACGGGUGAGUAACACGUAUCCAACCUGCCGCUUACUCGGGGAUAGCCUUUCGAAAGAAAGAUUAAUACCCGAUGGUAUAAAGAGUUCGCAUGUUCUCUUUAUUAAAGAAUUUCGGUAAGCGAUGGGCAUGCGUUCCAUUAGCUGGUUGGCGGGUAACGGCCCACCAAGGCAACGAUGGAUAGGGGAACUGAGAGGUUUAUCCCCCACACUGGUACUGAGACACGGACCAGACUCCUACGGGAGGCAGCAGUGAGGAAUAUUGGUCAAUGGACGCAAGUCUGAACCAAGCCACGUCGCGUGAAGGAAGACGGCCCUACGGGUUGUAAACUUCUUUUGUAAGGGAAUAAAGUGGGCCACGUGUGGCUUUUUGCAUGUACCUUACGAAUAAGGAUCGGCUAACUCCGUGCCAGCCGCCGC